AGAGAUGGAUUGGUGCCUUCGGGAACUCUGGACACAGGUGCUGCAUGGCUGUCGUCAGCUCGUGUCGUGAGAUGUUGGGUUAAGUCCGUAACGAGCGCAACCCUUGUCCUUAGUUACCAGCACGUUAUGGUGGGCACGUCUAAGGAGACUGCCGGUGACAAACCGGAGGAAGGUGGGGAGUGACGUCAAGUCAUCAUGGCCCUUACGGCCUGGGCUACACACGUGCUACAAUGGUCGGUACAAAGGGUUGCCAAGCCGCGAGGUGGAGCUAAUCCCAAUAAAACCGAUCGUAGUCCGGAUCGCAGUCUGCAACUCGACUGCGUGAAGUCGGAAUCGCUAGUAAUCGUGAAUCAGAAUGUCACGGUGAAUACGUUCCCGGGCCUU
This 384-nucleotide ribosomal RNA is filed under the name uncultured Pseudomonas sp. RNAcentral's name for it is "bacterial SSU rRNA". It matches the Rfam family "Bacterial small subunit ribosomal RNA", at positions 1002 to 1382 of the family's 1533-position model. Lineage: Bacteria; Pseudomonadati; Pseudomonadota; Gammaproteobacteria; Pseudomonadales; Pseudomonadaceae. The record is from RNAcentral.